CUUACCAAGUCUUGACAUCCCAGCGACGGGGACGUAACGGUCCCUUCCCUUCGGGGCGAUGGAGACAGGUGGUGCAUGGUUGUCGUCAGCUCGUGUCGUGAGAUGUUGGGUUAAGUCCCGCAACGAGCGCAACCCUUAUCCUCAGUAGCCAGCGGCGAGGCGGGGAACUCUGAGGAGACUGCCAGGGAUAACCUGGAGGAAGGUGGGGAUGACGUCAAAUCAUCAUGCCCCUUAUGAUUUGGGCUACACACGUGCUACAAUGGCGUAAACAAAGGGAAGCGAGCCCGCGAGGGUAAGCAAAUCUCAAAAAUAACGUCUCAGUUCGGAUUGUAGUCUGCAACUCGACUACAUGAAGCUGGAAUCGCUAGUAAUCGCGGAUCAGAAUGCCGCGGUGAAUACGUUCCCGGGUCUUGUACACACCGCCCGUCACACCAUGGGAGUCGGAAAUGCCCGAAGCCAGUGACCCAACUGAAAGGAGGGAGCUGUCGAAGGCAGGUCUGAUAACUGGGGUGAAGUCGUAACAAGGUAACCGU
Molecule: ribosomal RNA, 533 nt
Filed under: uncultured bacterium
Lineage: Bacteria
Description: bacterial SSU rRNA
Rfam family: Bacterial small subunit ribosomal RNA
Source: RNAcentral